Cyprinus carpio carpio is the source of this 877-nucleotide long non-coding RNA. The record is from Ensembl. NCBI's taxonomy places the organism in Eukaryota, Metazoa, Chordata, Actinopteri, Cypriniformes, Cyprinidae.
UGCACACUCUAAAAAAUGUUGGGUUAUUUUUUCUACCCAACCGCUGGGUUAAGCCUGUUGGGUCAUUUUAUUGGGUUAUUUUCUCAGUGUUGGGUAGUUUUUAGUGUAACCCAGCCGCUGGGUUACUAGUUGGGUCAAUUUUAGUGACAGUUGACACAGUGAGCCCCUCCCCCUCCUCGACGCCUCAACUCUAUCCUUCGCGGGCAUUUUGAGUCACCUCAGGAGUCAAGAGCCAUCGUUUUUCAGCGAGGACAGCUGUUAUUCGGAGAAAAAAAAGGGUGCAGAAUAAUGGAUAAUUUUGUACAGGAGAAGCUGAAAGAAUGGAACUUGGAAGUCCUGAUACCAAGCUUUAAAGAUGAACAAAUUGAUGAAGAAACCCUCCUGCUGCUUGAUGAAAAAUCACUAGAAGCUAUGAUACCAAAAAUAGGCCUGUGAUUGAAAUUUAAAAAGCACCUGAGAGAGCUGCUUGUGAGUGAAGAAAUGCACAUUUAAGAUGGGAUAUAUCUGCUUUAAGUGCAAAAAGACUGUUGGGGCCAAUGUUCGUUUUUUGUUUUCGCAUCUAAGAAUAAUGCAUAAUGUAUAUAGUUCAUCAAGUUAUUUUGAGUGUGGCCAAGCUGGGUGUCAUAGGACACUUAACUACAGCAGAUCAUUUAAGAGGCAUCUGCUACAGCACCGUGUAGAGUCUGAGGCAGAAGUAUCCAGCCAGUCAACACACUUGCCUCAGACAAUGACAUUGAGGUCUGACAGCAGACCUCUGGCUUCUCAGAGUGAGCCUUUUGAAGAGGAAGAUAAUGCUGCUGAUGACAUGGAAUGGGAUGAGUUAGAGCAGAACACUAUCACAGAUCGAGUGGCCUUGUUUUUAUCAAAAUUACUCUCU